CUAGGAAAUUGCCCUGAUGUGGGGGAUAACCAUUGGAAACGAUGGCUAAUACCGCAUGAUGCCUACGGGCCAAAGAGGGGGACCUUCGGGCCUCUCGCGUCAGGAUAUGCCUAGGUGGGAUUAGCUAGUUGGUGAGGUAAGGGCUCACCAAGGCGACGAUCCCUAGCUGGUCUGAGAGGAUGAUCAGCCACACUGGAACUGAGACACGGUCCAGACUCCUACGGGAGGCAGCAGUGGGGAAUAUUGCACAAUGGGCGCAAGCCUGAUGCAGCCAUGCCGCGUGUGUGAAGAAGGCCUUCGGGUUGUAAAGCACUUUCAGUCGUGAGGAAGGUAGUGUAGUUAAUAGCUGCAUUAUUUGACGUUAGCGACAGAAGAAGCACCGGCUAACUCCGUGCCAGCAGCCGCGGUAAUACGGAGGGUGCGAGCGUUAAUCGGAAUUACUGGGCGUAAAGCGCAUGCAGGUGGUUUGUUAAGUCAGAUGUGAAAGCCCGGGGCUCAACCUCGGAAUUGCAUUUGAAACUGGCAGACUAGAGUACUGUAGAGGGGGGUAGAAUUUCAGGUGUAGCGGUGAAAUGCGUAGAGAUCUGAAGGAAUACCGGUGGCGAAGGCGGCCCCCUGGACAGAUACUGACACUCAGAUGCGAAAGCGUGGGGAGCAAACAGGAUUAGAUACCCUGGUAGUCCACGCCGUAAACGAUGUCUACUUGGAGGUUGUGGCCUUGAGCCGUGGCUUUCGGAGCUAACGCGUUAAGUAGACCGCCUGGGGAGUACGGUCGCAAGAUUAAAACUCAAAUGAAUUGACGGGGGCCCGCACAAGCGGUGGAGCAUGUGGUUUAAUUCGAUGCAACGCGAAGAACCUUACCUACUCUUGACAUCCAGAGAACUUUCCAGAGAUGGAUUGGUGCCUUCGGGAACUCUGAGACAGGUGCUGCAUGGCUGUCGUCAGCUCGUGUUGUGAAAUGUUGGGUUAAGUCCCGCAACGAGCGCAACCCUUAUCCUUGUUUGCCAGCGAGUAAUGUCGGGAACUCCAGGGAGACUGCCGGUGAUAAACCGGAGGAAGGUGGGGACGACGUCAAGUCAUCAUGGCCCUUACGAGUAGGGCUACACACGUGCUACAAUGGCGCAUACAGAGGGCGGCCAACUUGCGAAAGUGAGCGAAUCCCAAAAAGUGCGUCGUAGUCCGGAUUGGAGUCUGCAACUCGACUCCAUGAAGUCGGAAUCGCUAGUAAUCGUGGAUCAGAAUGCCACGGUGAAUACGUUCCCGGGCCUUGUACACACCGCCCGUCACACCAUGGGAGUGGGCUGCAAAAGAAGUAGGUAGUUUAACC
RNAcentral lists this ribosomal RNA (1327 nucleotides) under Vibrio parahaemolyticus. RNAcentral's name for it is "bacterial SSU rRNA". It matches the Rfam family "Bacterial small subunit ribosomal RNA", at positions 117 to 1440 of the family's 1533-position model. Lineage: Bacteria; Pseudomonadati; Pseudomonadota; Gammaproteobacteria; Vibrionales; Vibrionaceae. The record is from RNAcentral.